This 1524-nucleotide ribosomal RNA is filed under the name swine manure bacterium 37-5. RNAcentral describes it as "16S ribosomal RNA". It matches the Rfam family "Bacterial small subunit ribosomal RNA". The record is from RNAcentral.
GAGAGUUUGAUUCUGGCUCAGGACGAACGCUGGCGGCGCGCCUAACACAUGCAAGUCGAGCGAUGAUAGCUCUUCAGAUUCCUUCGGGAUGACGAAAAGAAGGAUUAGCGGCGGACGGGUGAGUAACACGUGAGUAACCUGCCUUUGACACAGGGAUAGCCUUGGGAAACUGGGAUUAAUACCUGAUGACAUCAUUAGAUCGCAUGGUUUAAUGAUUAAAAUGAUUUAGUGGUCAAAGAUGGACUCGCGUCUGAUUAGCUAGUUGGUGAGAUAAAAGCUCACCAAGGCAACGAUCAGUAACCGGCCUGAGAGGGUGAACGGUCACAUUGGAACUGAGACACGGUCCAAACUCCUACGGGAGGCAGCAGUGGGGAAUAUUGCACAAUGGAGGAAACUCUGAUGCAGCGACGCCGCGUGAGCGAUGAAGGUUUUCGAAUCGUAAAGCUCUGUCCCAUGGGAAGAUAAUGACGGUACCAUGGGAGGAAGCCCCGGCUAACUACGUGCCAGCAGCCGCGGUAAUACGUAGGGGGCUAGCGUUGUCCGGAAUUACUGGGCGUAAAGGGUUCGCAGGCGGAAAUAUAAGUCAGGUGUAAAAGGCGGAGGCUCAACCUCCGUAAGCAUUUGAAACUAUAUUUCUUGAGAUAUGGAGAGGCAAGUGGAAUUCCUAGUGUAGCGGUGAAAUGCGUAGAUAUUAGGAGGAAUACCAGUGGCGAAGGCGACUUGCUGGACAUAUACUGACGCUGAGGAACGAAAGCAUGGGUAGCAAACAGGAUUAGAUACCCUGGUAGUCCAUGCUGUAAACGAUGAGUGCUAGGUAUCGGGGAUGACUUCGGUGCCGUAGUUAACACAAUAAGCACUCCGCCUGGGGAGUACGUGCGCAAGCAUGAAACUCAAAGGAAUUGACGGGGACCCGCACAAGCAGCGGAGCAUGUGGUUUAAUUCGAAGCAACGCGAAGGACCUUACCAGGACUUGACAUAAUAUUGACCGGUAUAGAGAUAUACCUUUCUCUUCGGAGACAGUAUUACAGGUGGUGCAUGGUUGUCGUCAGCUCGUGUCGUGAGAUGUUGGGUUAAGUCCCGCAACGAGCGCAACCCUUAUCUUUAGUUGCCAGCACGUAAUGGUGGGAACUCUAAAGAGACUGCCGAUGAUAAAUCGGAGGAAGGUGGGGAUGACGUCAAAUCAUCAUGCCCUUUAUGUCCUGGGCUACACACGUGCUACAAUGGUUGGAAACAAAGAGAAGCUAAACAGCAAUGUCAUGCAAAUCUCAUAAAGCCAAUCUCAGUUCGGAUUGUAGGCUGCAACUCGCCUACAUGAAGUCGGAGUUGCUAGUAAUCGCAGAUCAGAAUGCUGCGGUGAAUGCGUUCCCGGGUCUUGUACACACCGCCCGUCACACCAUGGAAGUUGGCAAUACCCGAAGCCGUCGAGCUAACCGUAAGGAAGCAGGCGUCGAAGGUAGGGUUAAUGACUGGGGUGAAGUCGUAACAAGGUAGCCGUAUCGGAAGGUGCGGCUGGAUCACCUCCUU